AGGAGGGGGGCACCAACGACGAAGGAGACGAUAUGGUGGACGAGGUGGAGUACUACUGAAGUCGGGAAUCAAACAGCUUUGCCUGUGCGCGCUAAUCGCAAGAUGCAGCCUACUCUAAGUCUAGGCGGAGCUCUGUCGUGUCCCUUUGUGUGAACCAUCUACCCUAAGUGUCUACUCGUUGUUAUGUAUAAAUUCGGUGUAAUCCGUUUGAACCUUGUUAUUUGCUACUGCACCUUGCGUGCUAUGCUAAUGCUAGUUUUGCUAUCGUAUGGUAAUAAUUGAUGGAUGUCUUCUGUGCUAGUGAAUCACAAUUGUUGCUCACUCUUCGAGAUUCCUAAUCUCUCUAUAGUCUUUAAAUACACCAGAACCUGUUUUUGCCAAAAGCUGUUCUGUUUCUGUAUGUUUGAUUUGUUUCAAGUCUAUCAAUUUUAUUGGCA
Molecule: long non-coding RNA, 437 nt
Filed under: Sorghum bicolor (sorghum)
Lineage: Eukaryota; Viridiplantae; Streptophyta; Magnoliopsida; Poales; Poaceae
Description: long non-coding RNA (SBIC_LNC003895)
Source: RNAcentral